ACGGGGGGUGCGAGCGUUGUCCGGAAUCACUGGGCGUAAAGGGCGCGUAGGUGGUUUGAUAAGGGUGUGGUGAAAGUCCGGGGCUCAACCCCGGAUCUGCCGUGCCGACUGUCAAACUCGAGGGCUGUAGAGGCAGACGGAAUUCCGGGUGUAGCGGUGGAAUGCGUAGAGAUCCGGAGGAAGACCGGUGGCGAAGGCGGUCUGCUGGGCAGUUUCUGACACUGAGGCGCGACAGCGUGGGGAGCAAACAGG
This 252-nucleotide ribosomal RNA is filed under the name uncultured bacterium. RNAcentral describes it as "partial 16S ribosomal RNA". It matches the Rfam family "Bacterial small subunit ribosomal RNA", at positions 525 to 776 of the family's 1533-position model. The record is from RNAcentral.